GGCGAACGGGUGAGUAAUACAUGGGUGACCUACCCUCGAGUGGGGGAUAACCCGCCGAAAGGCGGGCUAAUACCGCAUACGGUUCCGGGUUCACGGACUCGGAAGGAAAGCUGCUCUGUGAGAGUGGCGCUCUUGGAUGGGCUCAUGUCCUAUCAGCUUGUUGGCGGGGUAACGGCCCACCAAGGCUUCGACGGGUAGCUGGUCUGAGAGGACGAGCAGCCACACUGGCACUGCGACACGGGCCAGACUCCUACGGGAGGCAGCAGUGAGGAAUAUUGCGCAAUGGGCGAAAGCCUGACGCAGCGACGCCGCGUGGGGGAUGAAGGUCUUCGGAUUGUAAACCCCUUUCGGGAGGGAAGAUGGUUGCAUACAAGUGCAACGGACGGUACCUCCA
Molecule: ribosomal RNA, 394 nt
Filed under: uncultured Nitrospira sp.
Lineage: Bacteria; Pseudomonadati; Nitrospirota; Nitrospiria; Nitrospirales; Nitrospiraceae
Description: bacterial SSU rRNA
Rfam family: Bacterial small subunit ribosomal RNA
Source: RNAcentral